AGAGUUUGAUCCUGGCUCAGGAUGAACGCUAGCUACAGGCUUAACACAUGCAAGUCGAGGGGCAGCAUCAUCAAAGCCUGCUUUGAUGGAUGGCGACCGGCGCACGGGUGAGUAACACGUAUCCAACCUGCCGACAACACUGGGAUAGCCUUUCGAAAGAAAGAUUAAUACCGGAUGGCAUAAUUUUCCCGCAUGGGAUAAUUAUUAAAGAAUUUCGGUUGUCGAUGGGGAUGCGUUCCAUUAGGCAGUUGGCGGGGUAACGGCCCACCAAACCUACGAUGGAUAGGGGUUCUGAGAGGAAGGUCCCCCACAUUGGAACUGAGACACGGUCCAAACUCCUACGGGAGGCAGCAGUGAGGAAUAUUGGUCAAUGGACGAGAGUCUGAACCAGCCAAGUAGCGUGAAGGAUGACUGCCCUAUGGGUUGUAAACUUCUUUUAUACGGGAAUAAAGUGAGCCACGUGUGGCUUUUUGUAUGUACCGUAUGAAUAAGGAUCGGCUAACUCCGUGCCAGCAGCCGCGGUAAUACGGAGGAUUCGAGCGUUAUCCGGAUUUAUUGGGUUUAAAGGGAGCGUAGGCGGGUUGUUAAGUCAGUUGUGAAAGUUUGCGGCUCAACCGUAAAAUUGCAGUUGAUACUGGCGACCUUGAGUGCAACAGAGGUAGGCGGAAUUCGUGGUGUAGCGGUGAAAUGCUUAGAUAUCACGAAGAACUCCGAUUGCGAAGGCAGCUUACUGGAUUGUAACUGACGCUGAUGCUCGAAAGUGUGGGUAUCAAACAGGAUUAGAUACCCUGGUAGUCCACACAGUAAACGAUGAAUACUCGCUGUUGGCGAUAUACGGUCAGCGGCCAAGCGAAAGCAUUAAGUAUUCCACCUGGGGAGUACGCCGGCAACGGUGAAACUCAAAGGAAUUGACGGGGGCCCGCACAAGCGGAGGAACAUGUGGUUUAAUUCGAUGAUACGCGAGGAACCUUACCCGGGCUUAAAUUACAUUUGAAUAAUCUGGAAACAGUUUAGCCGUAAGGCAAAUGUGAAGGUGCUGCAUGGUUGUCGUCAGCUCGUGCCGUGAGGUGUCGGCUUAAGUGCCAUAACGAGCGCAACCCUUAUCUUCAGUUACUAACAGGUCAUGCUGAGGACUCUGGAGAGACUGCCGUCGUAAGAUGUGAGGAAGGUGGGGAUGACGUCAAAUCAGCACGGCCCUUACGUCCGGGGCUACACACGUGUUACAAUGGGGGGUACAGAAGGCAGCUACCUGGUGACAGGAUGCUAAUCCCAAAAACCUCUCUCAGUUCGGAUCGAAGUCUGCAACCCGACUUCGUGAAGCUGGAUUCGCUAGUAAUCGCGCAUCAGCCAUGGCGCGGUGAAUACGUUCCCGGGCCUUGCACACACCGCCCGUCA
This 1395-nucleotide ribosomal RNA is filed under the name uncultured bacterium. Its description in RNAcentral is "16S ribosomal RNA". It matches the Rfam family "Bacterial small subunit ribosomal RNA". The record is from RNAcentral.